GGGGUUAUAGCUCAGUUGGCUAGAGCGCUUGCAUGGCAUGCAAGAGGCCGAGGGUUCAAGUCCCUCUAACUCCACCA
RNAcentral lists this transfer RNA (77 nucleotides) under Candidatus Altimarinota bacterium. RNAcentral describes it as "tRNA-Ala". It matches the Rfam family "tRNA". Rfam says of the family: Transfer RNA (tRNA) molecules are approximately 80 nucleotides in length. Their secondary structure includes four short double-helical elements and three loops (D, anti-codon, and T loops). The record is from RNAcentral. Lineage: Bacteria; Candidatus Altimarinota.